Molecule: ribosomal RNA, 329 nt
Filed under: uncultured cyanobacterium
Lineage: Bacteria; Bacillati; Cyanobacteriota
Description: bacterial SSU rRNA
Rfam family: Bacterial small subunit ribosomal RNA
Source: RNAcentral
GAAAGCCUGACGGAGCAAUACCGCGUGAGGGAAGAAGGCUCUUGGGUUGUAAACCUCUUUUCUCAGGGAAUAAAAAAAUGAAGGUACCUGAGGAAUAAGCAUCGGCUAACUCCGUGCCAGCAGCCGCGGUAAUACGGAGGAUGCAAGCGUUAUCCGGAAUGAUUGGGCGUAAAGCGUCCGCAGGUGGUACAACAAGUCUAGUGUCAAAGACCGGGGCUCAACCCCGGAAAGGCGGUGGAAACUGUUGAACUAGAGGGUCGUAGGGGUAGAGGGAAUUCCCAGUGUAGCGGUGAAAUGCGUAGAGAUUGGGAAGAACAUCGGUGGCGAAG